RNAcentral lists this ribosomal RNA (494 nucleotides) under uncultured bacterium. Its description in RNAcentral is "partial 16S ribosomal RNA". It matches the Rfam family "Bacterial small subunit ribosomal RNA", at positions 28 to 506 of the family's 1533-position model. The record is from RNAcentral.
GACGAACGCUGGCGGCGUGCCUAAUACAUGCAAGUAGAACGCUGAAGGAGGAGCUUGCUCUUCUGGAUGAGUUGCGAACGGGUGAGUAACGCGUAGGUAACCUGCCCGGUAGCGGGGGAUAACUAUUGGAAACGAUAGCUAAUACCGCAUAAGAGUAGAUGUUGCAUGACAUUUGCUUAAAAGGUGCAAUUGCAUCACUACCAGAUGGACCUGCGUUGUAUUAGCUAGUUGGUGGGGUAACGGCUCACCAAGGCGACGAUACAUAGCCGACCUGAGAGGGUGAUCGGCCACACUGGGACUGAGACACGGCCCAGACUCCUACGGGAGGCAGCAGUAGGGAAUCUUCGGCAAUGGACGGAAGUCUGACCGAGCAACGCCGCGUGAGUGAAGAAGGUUUUCGGAUCGUAAAGCUCUGUUGUAAGAGAAGAACGAGUGUGAGAGUGGAAAGUUCACACUGUGACGGUAUCUUACCAGAAAGGGACGGCUAACUACGU